This 231-nucleotide unclassified non-coding RNA is filed under the name uncultured fungus. RNAcentral's name for it is "sequence contains ITS1, 5.8S rRNA gene". The stretch from base 183 to 231 matches the Rfam family "5.8S ribosomal RNA", at positions 1 to 49 of the family's 154-position model. Lineage: Eukaryota; Fungi. The record is from RNAcentral.
UCUCCGUAGGUGAACCUGCGGAGGGAUCAUUACUGAGUGAGGGUCUCCGGGCCCGACCUCCAACCCUUUGUGAACCAAACUUGUUGCUUCGGGGGCGACCCUGCCGCUUCGGCGGUGCGGCGCCCCCGGAGGCCAUUAACCACUGCGUAACUAAGUCGUCGGAGUUUAAACAAAUUAAACAAAACUUUCAACAACGGAUCUCUUGGUUCGAGCAUCGAUGAAGAACGCAGC